This 463-nucleotide ribosomal RNA is filed under the name uncultured bacterium. Its description in RNAcentral is "bacterial SSU rRNA". It matches the Rfam family "Bacterial small subunit ribosomal RNA", at positions 28 to 483 of the family's 1533-position model. The record is from RNAcentral.
GAUGAACGCUAGCUACAGGCUUAACACAUGCAAGUCGAGGGCAGCAUGAACUUAGCUUGCUAAGUUUGAUGGCGACCGGCGCACGGGUGAGUAACACGUAUCCAACCUGCCGAUGACUCGGGGAUAGCCUUUCGAAAGAAAGAUUAAUACCCGAUGGCAUAGUUCUUCCGCAUGGUAGAACUAUUAAAGAAUUUCGGUCAUCGAUGGGGAUGCGUUCCAUUAGGUUGUUGGCGGGGUAACGGCCCACCAAGCCUUCGAUGGAUAGGGGUUCUGAGAGGAAGGUCCCCCCACAUUGGAACUGAGACACGGUCCAAACUCCUACGGGAGGCAGCAGUGAGGAAUAUUGGUCAAUGGACGAGAGUCUGAACCAGCCAAGUAGCGUGAAGGAUGACUGCCCUAUGGUUGUAAACUUCUUUUAUACGGGAUAAAGUGAGGCACGUGUGCCUUUUUGUAUGUACCGUAU